RNAcentral lists this ribosomal RNA (247 nucleotides) under uncultured bacterium. Its description in RNAcentral is "partial 16S ribosomal RNA". It matches the Rfam family "Bacterial small subunit ribosomal RNA", at positions 524 to 776 of the family's 1533-position model. The record is from RNAcentral.
GACAGAGGAUGCAAGCGUUAUCCGGAAUGAUUGGGCGUAAGCGUCUGUAGGUGGCUUUUAAGUCCGCCGUCAAAUCCCAGGCUCAACCCUGGACAGGCGGUGGAAACUACCAAGCUGGAGUACGGUAGGGCAGAGGGAAUUCCGGUGGAGCGGUGAAAUGCGUAGAGAUCGGAAAGAACACCAACGGCGAAAGCACUCUGCUGGGCCGACACUGACACUGAGAGACGAAAGCUAGGGAGCGAAUGGG